AGAGUUUGAUCAUGGCUCAGAUUGAACGCUGGCGGCAGGCCUAACACAUGCAAGUCGAACGGUAACAGGAAGAAGCUUGCUUCUUUGCUGACGAGUGGCGGACGGGUGAGUAAUGUCUGGGAAACUGCCUGAUGGAGAGGGAUAACUACUGGAAACGGUAGCUAAUACCGCAUAACGUCGCAAGACCAAAGAGGGGGACCUUCGGGCCUCUUGCCAUCGGAUGUGCCCAGAUGGGAUUAGCUAGUAGGUGGGGUAACGGCUCACCUAGGCGACGAUCCCUAGCUGGUCUGAGAGGAUGACCAGCCACACUGGAACUGAGACACGGUCCAGACUCCUACGGGAGGCAGCAGUGGGGAAUAUUGCACAAUGGGCGCAAGCCUGAUGCAGCCAUGCCGCGUGUAUGAAGAAGGCCUUCGGGUUGUAAAGUACUUUCAGCGGGGAGGAAGGGAGUAAAGUUAAUACCUUUGCUCAUUGACGUUACCCGCAGAAGAAGCACCGGCUAACUCCGUGCCAGCAGCCGCGGUAAUACGGAGGGUGCAAGCGUUAAUCGGAAUUACUGGGCGUAAAGCGCACGCAGGCGGUUUGUUAAGUCAGAUGUGAAAUCCCCGGGCUCAACCUGGGAACUGCAUCUGAUACUGGCAAGCUUGAGUCUCGUAGAGGGGGGUAGAAUUCCAGGUGUAGCGGUGAAAUGCGUAGAGAUCUGGAGGAAUACCGGUGGCGAAGGCGGCCCCCUGGACGAAGACUGACGCUCAGGUGCGAAAGCGUGGGGAGCAAACAGGAUUAGAUACCCUGGUAGUCCACGCCGUAAACGAUGUCGACUUGGAGGUUGUGCCCUUGAGGCGUGGCUUCCGGAGCUAACGCGUUAAGUCGACCGCCUGGGGAGUACGGCCGCAAGGUUAAAACUCAAAUGAAUUGACGGGGGCCCGCACAAGCGGUGGAGCAUGUGGUUUAAUUCGAUGCAACGCGAAGAACCUUACCUGGUCUUGACAUCCACAGAACUUUCCAGAGAUGGAUUGGUGCCUUCGGGAACUGUGAGACAGGUGCUGCAUGGCUGUCGUCAGCUCGUGUUGUGAAAUGUUGGGUUAAGUCCCGCAACGAGCGCAACCCUUAUCCUUUGUUGCCAGCGGUCCGGCCGGGAACUCAAAGGAGACUGCCAGUGA
This 1160-nucleotide ribosomal RNA is filed under the name Escherichia coli O157:H7 str. TW14588. RNAcentral's name for it is "bacterial SSU rRNA". It matches the Rfam family "Bacterial small subunit ribosomal RNA", at positions 8 to 1158 of the family's 1533-position model. Lineage: Bacteria; Pseudomonadati; Pseudomonadota; Gammaproteobacteria; Enterobacterales; Enterobacteriaceae. The record is from RNAcentral.